This 478-nucleotide ribosomal RNA is filed under the name uncultured bacterium. RNAcentral's name for it is "partial 16S ribosomal RNA". It matches the Rfam family "Bacterial small subunit ribosomal RNA", at positions 28 to 523 of the family's 1533-position model. The record is from RNAcentral.
GACGAACGCUGGCGGCGUGCUUAACACAUGCAAGUCGAACGGUAAGGCCCUUCGGGGUACACGAGUGGCGAACGGGUGAGUAACACGUGGGUGAUCUGCCCUGCACUUCGGGAUAAGCCUGGGAAACUGGGUCUAAUACCGGAUAGGACCACUGCCUGCAUGGGUGGGGGUGGAAAGCUUUUGCGGUGUGGGAUGGGCCCGCGGCCUAUCAGUUUGUUGGUGGGGUGACGGCCUACAAAGGCGAGGCCGGGUAGCCGGCCUGAGAGGGUGACCGGCCACACUGGGACUGAGAUACGGCCAAGACUCCUACGGGAGGCAGCAGUGGGGAAUAUUGCACAAUGGGCGCAAGCCUGAUGCAGCGACGCCGCGUGAGGGAUGACGGCCUUCGGGUUGUAAACCUCUUUCAGCACCGACGAAGCGCAAGUGACGGUAGGUGCAGAAGAAGGACCGGCCAACUACGUGCCAGCCGCCGCCGUAA